This 24-nucleotide non-coding RNA is filed under the name Arabidopsis thaliana (thale cress). The record is from RNAcentral. Lineage: Eukaryota; Viridiplantae; Streptophyta; Magnoliopsida; Brassicales; Brassicaceae.
GCGAGUACACUGGAAGUGUGUGUU